ACGACGUCGUAUGGGAAGGGUGGGUGGCAGUAUUAUUAUUGAUUAGGCAUUGCAUUUUGGAGCUGUGGCCUGUGAGUUGUGUGACUUGUGACAAGCAGCCUCAGUAGGUCCGUUGAUUAAUGAAAGCCACCUGUGCCGCGCCUCAUAUUCUCCACCAUUCCAUUCCAUUUCCUCUUCUUUUCAAUUCCAAUUCCAAUUCUCAUUAGACUCUUUCGAUCAAAUCUAUGAUCUCUCUCUCGUUCCCUUCACUGCUACAUACUGCGUAGCAGUAGUAGCAUUGCAUUUCUAUUUUUAUUUCAAUUCUCAAUUUUGGGAACGACAUGGCUCCCAUAAACCUCAACGUCAAGCAGUCGGCAAACUCCACCACCGCUACCAUUGCGGCAUCCUCGCCGGACAUACUGGUGCGGGN
This 409-nucleotide long non-coding RNA is filed under the name Arachis ipaensis. RNAcentral's name for it is "long non-coding RNA (AIPA_LNC000191)". Lineage: Eukaryota; Viridiplantae; Streptophyta; Magnoliopsida; Fabales; Fabaceae. The record is from RNAcentral.